Molecule: unclassified non-coding RNA, 2444 nt
Filed under: Hevea brasiliensis (rubber tree)
Lineage: Eukaryota; Viridiplantae; Streptophyta; Magnoliopsida; Malpighiales; Euphorbiaceae
Source: RNAcentral
GAGAGGUUUGCAAAUUCAUAUAUAUAACAUCCAAGAUCUCCCUGCAGAUCUUAUUUUUACGCAUCAAUUGUGAUGUAGACCCAAUAAAGAAAAACCUUAAGAGAUGAGAAACAAAUUGUCAAAGGGAGAAACAAAUUCUCAAUUUUUUAUUAUUUUUAAUUGUCAAUCAUGAAAAAUACACUGCCAAAAUAACUAAAAGUCAUAGGUAUUUAUAGUAUAAUAUUAAUCGUACUAUUAUUGGGAUUAGAAAUCUCAAAAAUGAAAAUACUAAUUCAAUGCUGAUUAGGGAUACUAAAUAAACUUUAAGAAAAUAGUAAACCUAAUAUUCUUAAAGAAUAGAACUCUAAACUUCAUAAUUUUACGAUGAAAAAUUAAUUCAACAUAAUUCCUUAAUUGAGUCUUCUUGGACUGCAUUAGGCUGGAUUCAUGAUGGUGGCUCUUUUGGCAAGAUCCAGUACCAUGGGAAUUGAGAACCUAAUCUUAUGCCACAAACUGGUUGCCAAAUGAUUUCAAAUUUGGAUGGAUCUUGCCAUAAAGCAUGCCACUACCAAGUGAGAGAAAGAAAAUCCACCUGAACUAUUUCAAAAGAAAAUUGUAGGGGAUGGGGAGAUAAAGAAAUUUGCGUUACUUUUUAGGCUUUGGGGAGGAAAAAGUAGUGUUCACUUUCAUCAGUGAGGGAAGUGUGAUUUUGUGGUUAGCAACAUAAGGUUUAACUAUAUAAUUGGCUUGGCAUCUACAGAGGAUGGCCUUAAUAGCAUGGGAUAUUGAAAAAUUAACUAGCCUAAUGAGCUAAGAAGAAAACAGGAAUUUGCUAAAGCUAAUUGGUGGACAUCAAUGAGAAUAAGGAGAGUUCUUUGAAGUACACAUUAAGAUUGAAUUAGUUUUCAAUCAGAAACCUUGUUUCUGAUUGAUUGAUUCAUCCAUUUCCUUUAUGCUUUCUGCUUUGUGUGACAUUGAAAGAGAGGAGAAAAGAGAUGCGACCAAUGUUCUUGUAAUUUAACACACAUAAUUCAAUAACUGUGCCACAUUGGAUAACCUACUAAUACUUUUUUAAAUGCAGGCAGAUUGGAAUUAUUUUAUUUGAACCAUUACUUCAUGACCAAUGACUUCCACAAUUUUUCAGGCUGAUGCCCGAGUCUGCACUUACGGCCCCUAAGGAGAAGAAGCUUACAGGCAGACAGUGGUUUGAAAGUGGCGGAGCGGUAUGUUUCUCCUCUUGUUUGCUCCUGUAUUGUUAUUCCAAAUUAGGUGCAUAGUAUACUGCUCUCCAGAAAUCAACUUCGAAUUGCUAGUAAUCUUGAGUAAUGUAAUGGUUGCACUGUUACUUGGUUGUAGCGUUCAUACCUUUCCAUUAUUAGAACCUUUGUUAGACAUUUUCCAUUUGCAUGAUUUGAGAGUAUAAGCAAAUAUAUAAUGCAGUCAUAUGAUGAAAUUAUGAAUAGAACAUCAUAAUGAAAAAUCAAUUCUUGACAUCAUCAGUCUGUAAAUUACUCAGCUGGGCUUGCUAUUCACCAGUUUGAGAUUUACUCUAAUUUAUGGUAGCUUCCAUAUUCUGAAGUUCUAAACUCAUGUAAAGAAGGAUGAUUCUUUAUGGUGCCAAUCCUGGUGGUCUAAAUUAUGGCAGAGUCCAUAAGAUCAAAUCAUUUGUAAAUUUCCCACUUUCUUGCAAAUAACUUUAAUGCAUUUUGUGAGCACAAUUUCAGAAAGGAGCAGCCCCAAUUAAAGAAGGAUCUGAUGAGGAAGAUGAGGAGGACAUCGACUUUGAUGAUGAUGAUUUUGAAGAUGAUGAAGAAGAUAUGCUUGAGCACUAUCUGGCCGAGAAAUCUGACUCAUCUUGCCAUUCUUCAAGGCGAGCCAACUAAAUGGAAAUGGAUGGUAUUGGGCUCCUAUAUAGAGUACCCAUUGCAUGGCAAAUAUACCAGUUUUUGUUGUUAUCAAAAUAUAGCAGUUUUUGUUGGGACUGUUGGAUAUUGUACUUUUUUCCCUGCUCUUUCUGGAGUGGAGAGGGAAAUGUAGAUUAGUGGUUACAUUUUUCUUUUAUUAUUAGAAAGUGCAAUUGGAAAUUUGUACUCAUGAGGAGAAGAAAUAUAUUUAGAACUUGGAGAAUUUCUUCAGUGCAUUUGCUACAUAAUGCUUCAAGGAGAAAGAAAGCCAACACCAAAAGUGGCUUCCUCAAAUGUCCAAGUUUGAAGGGCAAAAAGAGCUGUUACACCGAUAUGUGUGCAAUAUAUUCUUAUUGUUAGUUCAUAUAAAAUGAACUUGAUUAACAUAAUUGUUUUCUGUAUAAAAGUAGACGGAACAUUGAUUGAAGAGCAACAUGAAAAGGUAGACGUCAGUUUGCUGGCUAACCCUUUAAAUGCAAUUCAUGGUGACUGCCAAGUACCAACCUUACCAUUGCAUAAUCAGCAUCAUUUAGAAUGAAAUGAAAAUAAACAGAACAUUUA